GACCCUAGGGCACAAAAUUGAGUCUUGACAAUGACCUCGAGGUUCUUUUGGAGAUCGGAGAGUGAGAUUUGAUAGCAGAAUAAAUAGGCUCUAUGAACAUUGAUUUUGGGUGAUUUGGAGUUGAUAUGACUUUGUAAGAGCUUUGCAAAGUCAAGGUUUAUUUCGGAUGAUUUGGAUUUUAUGAAAUAAAAUAGAGUUUAUGUUUUGGAUGAUUUCAAGAAUUUUGUAAUAGAUCUAUGAGUGAAAUUUUGUGGAUUUAUGGUUAUAGAUGUGUUUAAUAUGUGUUGUAAAUUUGAGCUUGAUCUAACGGUUGAAUUGAGGAAUAUUGAGGUUUAAGUCGGUCAAGGUCUCAAAAAGUAGAAUUUUAGGUCUAGUAGGGAUUUUUG
RNAcentral lists this long non-coding RNA (386 nucleotides) under Physcomitrium patens. RNAcentral's name for it is "long non-coding RNA (PPAT_LNC011230)". Lineage: Eukaryota; Viridiplantae; Streptophyta; Bryopsida; Funariales; Funariaceae. The record is from RNAcentral.